Molecule: ribosomal RNA, 492 nt
Filed under: uncultured bacterium
Lineage: Bacteria
Description: partial 16S ribosomal RNA
Rfam family: Bacterial small subunit ribosomal RNA
Source: RNAcentral
AGUGAACGCUGGCGGUAGGCCUAACACAUGCAAGUCGAACGGCAGCACAGUAAGGGCUUGCUCUUACGGGUGGCGAGUGGCGGACGGGUGGGGAAUACAUCGGAAUCUACUUUUUCGUGGGGGAUAACGUAGGGAAACUUACGCUAAUACCGCAUACGACCUACGGGUGAAAGCAGGGGAUCUUCGGACCUUGCGCGAUUGAAUGAGCCGAUGUCGGAUUAGCUAGUUGGCGGGGUAAAGGCCCACCAAGGCGACGAUCCGUAGCUGGUCUGAGAGGAUGAUCAGCCACACUGGAACUGAGACACGGUCCAGACUCCUACGGGAGGCAGCAGUGGGGAAUAUUGGACAAUGGGCGCAAGCCUGAUCCAGCCAUACCGCGUGGGUGAAGAAGGCCUUCGGGUUGUAAAGCCCUUUUGUUGGGAAAGAAAAGCAGCAGGUUAAUACCCCGCUGUUCUGACGGUACCCAAAGAAUAAGCACCGGCUAACUUCGUG